Molecule: transfer RNA, 20 nt
Filed under: Equus caballus (horse)
Lineage: Eukaryota; Metazoa; Chordata; Mammalia; Perissodactyla; Equidae
Description: partial transfer RNA-Pro
Source: RNAcentral
CAGGGAGUAGUUUACGUAAA